This 253-nucleotide ribosomal RNA is filed under the name uncultured bacterium. RNAcentral describes it as "partial 16S ribosomal RNA". It matches the Rfam family "Bacterial small subunit ribosomal RNA", at positions 524 to 776 of the family's 1533-position model. The record is from RNAcentral.
UACGUAGGGUGCAAGCGUUGUCCGGAAUUAUUGGGCGUAAAGAGCUCGUAGGCGGUCUGUUGCGUCGGCUGUGAAAACCCGGGGCUCAACUCCGGGCCUGCAGCCGAUACGGGCAGACUAGAGUUCGGCAGGGGAGACUGGAAUUCCUGGUGUAGCGGUGAAAUGCGCAGAUAUCAGGAGGAACACCGAUGGCAAAGGCAGGUCUCUGGGCAUUAACUGACGCUGAGGAGCGAAAGCAUGGGGAGCGAACAGG